CAACAUAAUUAACUGUUUAGAUGCUGGCUUCCAUUUGUCCUUUCCCAAUCAUUCAUCAACGCCAGUUAACUGUUGGCUUCCUUUGUUUAGCCUCCAUCUU
Long non-coding RNA from Haliotis rubra (blacklip abalone), 100 nucleotides. RefSeq lists it as uncharacterized. The transcript has 3 exons. The record is from RefSeq and is a predicted model, not a curated record. Lineage: Eukaryota; Metazoa; Mollusca; Gastropoda; Lepetellida; Haliotidae.